Molecule: ribosomal RNA, 230 nt
Filed under: uncultured bacterium
Lineage: Bacteria
Description: partial 16S ribosomal RNA
Rfam family: Bacterial small subunit ribosomal RNA
Source: RNAcentral
UAGGAAUAUGCCUUGAAGUGGGGGAUAACAUGGGGAAACACAUGCUAAUACCGCAUAAUUUCUUAGGAAAAAAGCUGGGGACCUUCGGGCCUAGCGCUUCAAGAUUAGCCUGCGUCCGAUUAGCUAGUUGGUAGGGUAAAGGCCUACCAAGGCGACGAUCGGUAGCUGGUCUGAGAGGAUGACCAGCCACACUGGGACUGAGACACGGCCCAGACUCCUACGGGAGGCAG